AAAGAGAAGAAGAAGAAGAAGAAAGAAGAAGAGGAAGGGGAUUCGAGAGGGAAAGGGAUCCCGGUUGCACUUCCAGCUGAAGGAAAAAGUGUAGAUCUCCUCCUCUACGCAAGGACCUCGAUUUCCAAAAAGAAAAAGGUAAAUAUCCGUUCCUAUCUAGUCUUUUGAUGACAUUAGGCUAUACAAAGGGUGGAUAUAGUCUAGAGGGGU
Molecule: long non-coding RNA, 210 nt
Filed under: Phoenix dactylifera (date palm)
Lineage: Eukaryota; Viridiplantae; Streptophyta; Magnoliopsida; Arecales; Arecaceae
Description: long non-coding RNA (PDAC_LNC022197)
Source: RNAcentral